RNAcentral lists this ribosomal RNA (253 nucleotides) under uncultured bacterium. Its description in RNAcentral is "partial 16S ribosomal RNA". It matches the Rfam family "Bacterial small subunit ribosomal RNA", at positions 524 to 776 of the family's 1533-position model. The record is from RNAcentral.
UACGUAGGGUGCAAGCGUUAAUCGGAAUCACUGGGCGUAAAGGGUGCGUAGGCGGGUCUUUAAGUCAGGGGUGAAAUCCUGGAGCUCAACUCCAGAACUGCCUUUGAUACUGAAGAUCUUGAGUUCGGGAGAGGUGAGUGGAACUGCGAGUGUAGAGGUGAAAUUCGUAGAUAUUCGCAAGAACACCAGUGGCGAAGGCGGCACACUGGCCCGAUACUGACGCUGAGGCACGAAAGCGUGGGGAGCAAACAGG